RNAcentral lists this long non-coding RNA (285 nucleotides) under Bos taurus (domestic cattle). RNAcentral describes it as "long non-coding RNA NONBTAT025139". Lineage: Eukaryota; Metazoa; Chordata; Mammalia; Artiodactyla; Bovidae. The record is from RNAcentral.
CAAAGUUGAAUUGAGAAAUUUAAGUUAUCACCAUAGUCUUGUUCUGUGUUGACCAUUAGAAAAAUCUCUUCUUGGAGUCAUUUAACACCAGGUAUAUACUGUUUAUAGGUCAAAGGAAAUGUUGGCGGUUGUCUUAGGUGAGCAAUAAAAGAAUACUAAGUUUAUUCAAAGUUUCAGAAUACAACUUUUGGUUACAUUCUUAGAAAAAUUGUAUUUUUAAGUACCUAACCCUAAUACUAUUCUCUCCUUUGACCCCAACAUUCUCAAGUUCCAGUGAAAUGUUAU